Molecule: long non-coding RNA, 592 nt
Organism: Rosa chinensis
Lineage: Eukaryota; Viridiplantae; Streptophyta; Magnoliopsida; Rosales; Rosaceae
Exons: 3
Source: RefSeq, a predicted model, not a curated record
AGGGGACCCAUAUCCAUCUGAGCAGCAAAAACACCAUCUGCUAUCGGCUCUCAGUCAGUUGACAAGAUGGUCAGAAAAGCAGUUAGUAGAGUGGUUAGAAGAGAUGCUGAGAUACAUAAAUUCAUCUCCAGACAUCUAAAGACUGAAACAAGGAACAUGAAUAAUGAGAACCGAGUGUGUGAUGUUCAAAUCAUCGAUUAUGAAAUUACCCAGAACUUAAGAAAGGGCUGCAAAUAGAAGCUAGCUUUGUGGGAUUUCUUAUAUCUGAAGAGAUGGAAGCAAUCAUGUGUUUCAGCGCAACUAAGCAAUUCAGCCAUCAUUCUAUUUUGACACUUAUUUUCCUCGGUUAUGAUUCAGAAAAGGACAGGAUAUUACUGUUCUAUGAGAGGUAUGACUCUUUGUUAGCUGAUUGGAGAGAAUGACAUGAGAUUUGGUAGCAGCAAGUUACAUGGCAACUCUAUUUUAAUCUCUCAAAAGCAUGUCUUGCAGUAAAUAUAUGUAAUGACUUGACAAGGAAACAUGUUUUGCAGUGAACAUAUACAGGCCCCAAAAUAUUUACAUGAUAAAGGUUUAUUCAUACAGGCCUCAAUAA